This 440-nucleotide ribosomal RNA is filed under the name uncultured bacterium. Its description in RNAcentral is "partial 16S ribosomal RNA". It matches the Rfam family "Bacterial small subunit ribosomal RNA", at positions 339 to 795 of the family's 1533-position model. The record is from RNAcentral.
CUACGGGAGGCACCAGCAGGGAAUAUUGCACAAUGGACGGAAGUCUGAUGCAGCGACGCCGCGUGGAUGAUGAAGGCCUUCGGGUUGUAAAAUCCUUUUCAGGGAGAAGAGGAAGGACGGUAUCCCUGGAAUAAGCGUCGGCUAACUACGUGCCAGCAGCCGCGGUAAUACGUAGGACGCAAGCGUUAUCCGGAUUUACUGGGCGUAAAGCGUCUGUAGGCGGUUUAGUAAGUUUGAUGUGAAAGCUCCAGGCUCAACUUGGAGAGUGCAUUGAAUACUGCUAGACUUGAGGGGAUCAGAGGAAAGCGGAAUUUCCGGUGUAGCGGUAAAAUGUGCAGAUAUCGGAAAGAACGCCAGUGGCGAAGGCGGCUUUCUGGGAUCAACCUGACGCUGAGAGACGAAAGCUAGGGUAGCGAACAGGAUUAGAUACCCGAGUAGUC